CCUACGGGUGGCAGCAGUGGGGAAUAUUGGACAAUGGGCGAAAGCCUGAUCCAGCCAUGCCGCGUGUGUGAAGAAGGCCUUCGGGUUGUAAAGCACUUUCAGUGGGGAAGAAAGCCUUGGGGCUAAUACCCUCGAGGAAGGACAUCACCCACAGAAGAAGCACCGGCUAACUCCGUGCCAGCAGCCGCGGUAAUACGGAGGGUGCGAGCGUUAAUCGGAAUUACUGGGCGUAAAGCGCGCGUAGGCGGUCUGAUAAGCCGGUUGUGAAAGCCCCGGGCUCAACCUGGGAACGGCAUCCGGAACUGUCAGGCUAGAGUGCAGGAGAGGAAGGUAGAAUUCCCGGUGUAGCGGUGAAAUGCGUAGAGAUCGGGAGGAAUACCAGUGGCGAAGGCGGCCUUCUGGACUGACACUGAAGCUGAGGUGCGAAAGCGUGGGUAGCAAACAGGAUUAGAUACCCCUGUAGUC
RNAcentral lists this ribosomal RNA (465 nucleotides) under Vreelandella stevensii. Its description in RNAcentral is "partial 16S ribosomal RNA". It matches the Rfam family "Bacterial small subunit ribosomal RNA", at positions 338 to 795 of the family's 1533-position model. Lineage: Bacteria; Pseudomonadati; Pseudomonadota; Gammaproteobacteria; Oceanospirillales; Halomonadaceae. The record is from RNAcentral.